GUGGGGAAUAUUGCACAAUGGGGGAAACCCUGAUGCAGCGACGCCGCGUGAGCGAAGAAGUAUUUCGGUAUGUAAAGCUCUAUCAGCAGGGAAGAAGAAUGACGGUACCUGACUAAGAAGCACCGGCUAAAUACGUGCCAGCAGCCGCGGUAAUACGUAUGGUGCAAGCGUUAUCCGGAUUUACUGGGUGUAAAGGGAGCGCAGGCGGUGCGGCAAGUCUGAUGUGAAAGCCCGGGGCUCAACCCCGGUACUGCAUUGGAAACUGUCGUACUAGAGUGUCGGAGGGGUAAGUGGAAUUCCUAGUGUAGCGGUGAAAUGCGUAGAUAUUAGGAGGAACACCAGUGGCGAAGGCGGCUUACUGGACGAUAACUGACGCUGAGGCUCGAAAGCGUGGGGAGCAAACAGGAUUAGAAACCCCGGUAGUCC
Molecule: ribosomal RNA, 426 nt
Filed under: uncultured bacterium
Lineage: Bacteria
Description: partial 16S ribosomal RNA
Rfam family: Bacterial small subunit ribosomal RNA
Source: RNAcentral